Molecule: ribosomal RNA, 406 nt
Filed under: uncultured bacterium
Lineage: Bacteria
Description: partial 16S ribosomal RNA
Rfam family: Bacterial small subunit ribosomal RNA
Source: RNAcentral
AUUGAACGCUGGCGGCAGGCCUAACACAUGCAAGUCGAACGAGUGGCGGACGGGUGAGUAAUGUCUGGGAAACUGCCUGAUGGAGGGGGAUAACUACUGGAAACGGUAGCUAAUACCGCAUACCAUCAGAUGUGCCCCGAUGGGAUUAGCUGGUAGGUGGGGUACCGGCUCACCUCUGCGACGAUCCCUAGCUGGUCUGAGAGGAUGACCCGCCACACUGGAACUGAGAAACGGUCCAGACUCCUACGGGAGGCAGCAGUGGGGAAUAUUGCACAAUGGGCGCAAGCCUGAUGCAGCCAUGCCGCGUGUGUGAAGAAGGCCUUCGGGUUGUAAAGCACUUCCAGCGGGGAGGCGUUACCCGCAGAAGAAGCACCGGCUAACUCCGUGCCAGCAGCCGCGGUAAUUC